RNAcentral lists this unclassified non-coding RNA (258 nucleotides) under Hevea brasiliensis (rubber tree). The record is from RNAcentral. Lineage: Eukaryota; Viridiplantae; Streptophyta; Magnoliopsida; Malpighiales; Euphorbiaceae.
UUUAACCUUGUUGAUAUGCCCAUUUUCCAAGCUCCUACAAGGUAAAGAAUGAUAUAACUCUGCAGAAAAGUCCUUGGAAAUCAAUAAAGGUAGCUGCUUUCUUGAUAAAACUGAAGUGGAAGGAUGCACUGAAGUGUAAAAAACAGUUGAAUACAUCUUUUAAUUGAACCCCAGUUCAAGAAAAGAAGAUUCGAGUUUUUCUUCCAAUGUAUGUAUGAUUCAGUGAAAAGAAGAUUUAUUGAAAAAAUUGUUAAUUAG